RNAcentral lists this microRNA precursor (125 nucleotides) under Hordeum vulgare. RNAcentral's name for it is "microRNA MIR1122". It matches the Rfam family "MIR1120/MIR1122 microRNA precursor family". Lineage: Eukaryota; Viridiplantae; Streptophyta; Magnoliopsida; Poales; Poaceae. The record is from RNAcentral.
GAAAUACUCCCUCCGUCCGGAAAUACUUGUCAUAGGAAUGGAUGUAUCUAGAUGUAUUUUAGUUCUAGAUACAUCCAUUUUUAUCAAUUUGUACGACAAGUAAUUCUGGAUGGAGGGAGUAUACA